RNAcentral lists this ribosomal RNA (1676 nucleotides) under Salmonella enterica subsp. enterica. RNAcentral's name for it is "partial 23S ribosomal RNA". It matches the Rfam family "Bacterial large subunit ribosomal RNA", at positions 1171 to 2826 of the family's 2925-position model. The record is from RNAcentral. Lineage: Bacteria; Pseudomonadati; Pseudomonadota; Gammaproteobacteria; Enterobacterales; Enterobacteriaceae.
UGUAACGGGGCUAAACCAUGCACCGAAGCUGCGGCAGCGACACUGUGUGUUGUUGGGUAGGGGAGCGUUCUGUAAGCCUGUGAAGGUGUGUCGUGAGGCAUGCUGGAGGUAUCAGAAGUGCGAAUGCUGACAUAAGUAACGAUAAAGCGGGUGAAAAGCCCGCUCGCCGGAAGACCAAGGGUUCCUGUCCAACGUUAAUCGGGGCAGGGUGAGUCGACCCCUAAGGCGAGGCCGAAAGGCGUAGUCGAUGGGAAACGGGUUAAUAUUCCCGUACUUGGUGUUACUGCGAAGGGGGGACGGAGAAGGCUAUGUUGGCCGGGCGACGGUUGUCCCGGUUUAAGCGUGUAGGUGUGUGUUCCAGGUAAAUCCGGUUCACUUUAACACUGAGGCGUGACGACGAGGCACUACGGUGCUGAAGCAACAAAUGCCCUGCUUCCAGGAAAAGCCUCUAAGCAUCAGGUAACAUCAAAUCGUACCCCAAACCGACACAGGUGGUCAGGUAGAGAAUACCAAGGCGCUUGAGAGAACUCGGGUGAAGGAACUAGGCAAAAUGGUGCCGUAACUUCGGGAGAAGGCACGCUGACACGUAGGUGAAGUGAUUUACUCAUGGAGCUGAAGUCAGUCGAAGAUACCAGCUGGCUGCAACUGUUUAUUAAAAACACAGCACUGUGCAAACACGAAAGUGGACGUAUACGGUGUGACGCCUGCCCGGUGCCGGAAGGUUAAUUGAUGGGGUCAGCGCAAGCGAAGCUCCUGAUCGAAGCCCCGGUAAACGGCGGCCGUAACUAUAACGGUCCUAAGGUAGCGAAAUUCCUUGUCGGGUAAGUUCCGACCUGCACGAAUGGCGUAAUGAUGGCCAGGCUGUCUCCACCCGAGACUCAGUGAAAUUGAACUCGCUGUGAAGAUGCAGUGUACCCGCGGCAAGACGGAAAGACCCCGUGAACCUUUACUAUAGCUUGACACUGAACAUUGAGCCUUGAUGUGUAGGAUAGGUGGGAGGCUUUGAAGUGUGGACGCCAGUCUGCAUGGAGCCGACCUUGAAAUACCACCCUUUAAUGUUUGAUGUUCUAACGUGGACCCGUGAUCCGGGUUGCGGACAGUGUCUGGUGGGUAGUUUGACUGGGGCGGUCUCCUCCUAAAGAGUAACGGAGGAGCACGAAGGUUGGCUAAUCCUGGUCGGACAUCAGGAGGUUAGUGCAAUGGCAUAAGCCAGCUUGACUGCGAGCGUGACGGCGCGAGCAGGUGCGAAAGCAGGUCAUAGUGAUCCGGUGGUUCUGAAUGGAAGGGCCAUCGCUCAACGGAUAAAAGGUACUCCGGGGAUAACAGGCUGAUACCGCCCAAGAGUUCAUAUCGACGGCGGUGUUUGGCACCUCGAUGUCGGCUCAUCACAUCCUGGGGCUGAAGUAGGUCCCAAGGGUAUGGCUGUUCGCCAUUUAAAGUGGUACGCGAGCUGGGUUUAGAACGUCGUGAGACAGUUCGGUCCCUAUCUGCCGUGGGCGCUGGAGAACUGAGGGGGGCUGCUCCUAGUACGAGAGGACCGGAGUGGACGCAUCACUGGUGUUCGGGUUGUCAUGCCAAUGGCACUGCCCGGUAGCUAAAUGCGGAAGAGAUAAGUGCUGAAAGCAUCUAAGCACGAAACUUGCCCCGAGAUGAGUUCUCCCUGAGACUUAGAGUCU